Molecule: ribosomal RNA, 497 nt
Filed under: uncultured bacterium
Lineage: Bacteria
Description: partial 16S ribosomal RNA
Rfam family: Bacterial small subunit ribosomal RNA
Source: RNAcentral
GAUGAACGCUGGCGGCGUGCCUAAUACAUGCAAGUCGAGCGAACAGACGAAGACCUAACUCUUCGCACGUUAUCACCGAACAGGUUAGUAAAACGUGGAUAACCGCCCUAUAAAACUGGCUUAGAUUCGGGAAUCCGGAGCGAAUACCGGGUAUUAUAUUGCACCACAUGGUACAAUAGUAAAAGACGGUUUUGCUAUCACUUAUAGAUAUAUCCGCGCCGCAUUAGCAAGUUUGUAAGGUAACGGCUUACGAAGGCAACGAUGCGUAGCAGACCUGAGAGCGUGAACGGGCAGACUGGAACAGAGACACGGCCGAGACUCCUACGGGGGGACGCAGUAGGGACUCCUCCGCGAGGGGGGAAAGCCUGACGGAGCAACGCCGCGGGAGUGAUGAAGGUGUGCGGAUCGUAGAACUCUGUAAGUAUUGAAGAACAAAUGUGUAAGUAACUAUGCACGUCUUGACGGUACCUAAGCAGAAAGCCACGGCUAACUACGUG